This 637-nucleotide unclassified non-coding RNA is filed under the name Malassezia restricta. RNAcentral's name for it is "partial miscellaneous RNA". The record is from RNAcentral. Lineage: Eukaryota; Fungi; Basidiomycota; Malasseziomycetes; Malasseziales; Malasseziaceae.
CGACCUAGUCGACUACAUCCUACUGUAUCCUACGCAAUGGAGGUGUGUAUGAUAGGUCACACCCUACCCCACUUUCCCAUUCUUCUAUACCUUACCCCUCUACCCCCUCUCUACGUCACCCGUGCACACACACAUUCACGCCUGUCUAUGCGUCCCCCUCCUCCAAGAGUCGAAUUUCUCUCUCUCUCUCGUCAGUAGUCUACUUGCCCAUGGAGAGUAUAUAUAUUAGGCUCUGAUCUAUAUACAAUAUAUAUAUACACAUAUACAUAUGCAUAAAAAAUCCAGAGGGCACACAUCAAUGUAUACGGAUUCAUAUACCUAUGUAUACACACAACUUGACCUUAGUGGACAGCGGGGUGGUCAACUCGUCGACGAACAAACAAUCCACGGCGACCACAGCGACUACAGCGACCACAGCUAGGUAGCGCGCAGUCUCGCCUCCCGCCCCCCGCCCUGCUGCUCAGGGUCUAGUGUGUGUGUGCGUGUGUGGUUGUACGUCUCGCGAAUGGAGGCUUGUAUCUCCGAACAUACACGCCCGUGCUCUUGCCUGCCUUUCCUCCUCAUGCUCUCCGUCUCCAUGCUGCCCCCCUCCCCGCAUUUUUGGCCUGUUUUGUACGAGAGCUUGACAUGCCCUUCC